GGCCUCAUCGUCUAGCGGUUAGGACAUCAGGUUUUCAGCCUGAUUACCUGGGUUCGAGUCCCAGUGAGGUCA
RNAcentral lists this transfer RNA (72 nucleotides) under Candidatus Woesebacteria bacterium. RNAcentral's name for it is "tRNA-Glu". It matches the Rfam family "tRNA". Rfam says of the family: Transfer RNA (tRNA) molecules are approximately 80 nucleotides in length. Their secondary structure includes four short double-helical elements and three loops (D, anti-codon, and T loops). The record is from RNAcentral. Lineage: Bacteria; Candidatus Woeseibacteriota.